Molecule: ribosomal RNA, 402 nt
Filed under: uncultured prokaryote
Description: bacterial SSU rRNA
Rfam family: Bacterial small subunit ribosomal RNA
Source: RNAcentral
UGGGGAAUAUUGCACAAUGGGGGAAACCCUGAUGCAGCAACGCCGCGUGAGUGAUGACGGCCUUAGGGUUGUAAAGCUCUUUCGCCCGCGAAGAUAAUGACGGUAGCGGGAGAAGAAGCCCCGGCUAACUUCGUGCCAGCAGCCGCGGUAAUACGAAGGGGGCUAGCGUUGUUCGGAAUCACUGGGCGUAAAGCGUACGUAGGCGGAUCGUUAAGUCAGGGGUGAAAGCCCGGAGCUCAACUCCAGAACUGCCUUUGAUACUGGCGAUCUCGAGUCCGGGAGAGGUGAGUGGAACUGCUAGUGUAGAGGUGAAAUUCGUAGAUAUUAGCAAGAACACCAGUGGCGAAGGCGGCUCACUGGCCCGGUACUGACGCUGAGGUACGAAAGCGUGGGGAGCAAACA